RNAcentral lists this non-coding RNA (29 nucleotides) under Homo sapiens (human). Lineage: Eukaryota; Metazoa; Chordata; Mammalia; Primates; Hominidae. The record is from RNAcentral.
UGCAGACGGGCAUGUCGUGGGGAGCGUUU